AAAAAAAUCGAUUUUAGAUCAAUAGAAAACCCAAGCUCACGUUAACAGUUAACGCUUUCGAUAAAACAGAAUAGGACUCGCGUAAUUAUUCUUGUUUUAACGUUUCAAACGAUUGUCUAUAGCGCAUGCAAAAACGUAGACUUCAUUUAAUUUCCUUGGAGUUAACCUCUUAGGCACGGCUGAAUUUUGCGCUGGCUACAUACAUUCUUAGACUGUACAUUCCAUCUGUAUUGUAUUAUUAAUACCGUUGUAAAACGUUGCGAGGGCAAAAAGGUGUGAAGCAAGAGACAAAUGAAAACGAUCGUUUAGUUCAGACGGUGAGCGAAUGAGUCGGUAGAGUGCGCCACUGAAGCGGCGCGUCAUAAAUAAUAUGACAUCCGCGAGAGCCGCUUUAGUGGCGCGUCGGUACCUAAGAGGUUAAUUCAGGAAAAUGCGUACUCUGUUUUCGAAGAUUCAACUGCCUAGUCUCCUUGAAGAAGAAGUUAAUUUUUCACAUUUUAAAACAAACUAUAGGAUACUUGCCGAUAGUUGUGAGGACCGUGGUUGCAUAAUAAAACGCUCCGGCGAACUUCCACUGUUGACCGGCUUUAUGAGGUUCCGUCUUCAGCACCACUGUUUCCAUGAUCUUGAAGUCGUCCUCGCUUAUAUUGUAUUUGCGUAUAAUCAUCUUUUCAAUGGCUAUCAACACAACAAUUUAGAUCCCGUUGAUUAUAAGUUCUCAAAGAGCUGACCCGGUUUAUCAACGAGAAAUCGUACCGUCUAAUGCUUCCUUGCGUCGUUUCUCCGUCUCGGACUCGAGGACGUCGAAGAUUGCAGCGCCGACGAGGAGGUAGGUGAACGUGAAGACGAUCAACGAUAGGGUCCGGACGUUUUGUUUCUUCAUUCUCUAGUGAGCCACAUGCUCACUAGCAGGGCCCCGGCCCUAACUACUUGCAUCGCUCAGUGGAGUACGAUUUGGUGUGCCGGGCCCAUGUCGACCCCUUCCCCUUCUUGAUGAUGCUCGGGGGACCCUUUCUUUCCUUACCGAGCGCUACAGACCCGGCACGCAACUCCUCUUCUUCAGGGUGUUUUCUUCCUUGCAGGCACUACCUUGUAGCCGCUUUCGUUCAUCUGAAUGCAAUCCGAAAGUAAACAAAA
Molecule: non-coding RNA, 1137 nt
Organism: Megalopta genalis
Lineage: Eukaryota; Metazoa; Arthropoda; Insecta; Hymenoptera; Halictidae
Source: RefSeq, a predicted model, not a curated record